RNAcentral lists this ribosomal RNA (468 nucleotides) under uncultured bacterium. RNAcentral's name for it is "partial 16S ribosomal RNA". It matches the Rfam family "Bacterial small subunit ribosomal RNA", at positions 28 to 507 of the family's 1533-position model. The record is from RNAcentral.
GACGAACGCUGGCGGCGUGCUUAACAUAUGCAAGUCGAACGGAAAGGCCCUGCUUUUGUGGGGUGCUCGAGUGGCGAACGGGUGAGUAACACGUGAGUAACCUGCCCUUGACUUUGGGAUAACUUCAGGAAACUGGGGCUAAUACCGGAUAGGAGCUCCUGCUGCAUGGUGGGGGUUGGAAAGUUUCGGCGGUUGGGGAUGGACUCGCGGCUUAUCAGCUUGUUGGUGGGGUAGUGGCUUACCAAGGCUUUGACGGGUAGCCGGCCUGAGAGGGUGACCGGCCAGAUUGGGACUGAGAUACGGCCCAGACUCCUACGAGAGGCAGCAGUGGGGAAUAUUGCACGAUGGGCGGAAGCAUGAUGCAGCAACGCAGCGUGCGGGAUGACGGCCUUCGGGUUGUAAACCGCUUUCGCAUGUGACGAAGCGUGAGUGACGGUAAUGGGUAAAGAAGCACCGGCUAACUACGUG